CCUACGGGAGGCUGCAGUGGGGAAUCUUGGUCAAUGGGCGAAAGCCUGAACCUGCGACGCCGCGUGAGUGAUGAAGGUCGUAAGAUCGUAAAACUCUUUUCAGGGACAUUAAAGCUCCGGCUCUAACAUAGCCUGGAGUCUGACUAUCCCUGGAAUAAGCCCCAGCCAACUACGUGCCAGCAGCUGCGGUAAUACGUAGGGGGCGAGCGUUAUUCGGAAUUACUGGGUGUAAAGGGUAUGUAGGCGGCCUGACAAGUCGCGUGUCAAAGUCCAGCGCUCAACGCUGGGUUCGCACGCGAUACUGUCAGGCUUGAGGACUGGAGAGGUGAGCGGAAUUCCCGGUGUAGUGGUAAAAUACGUAGAUAUCGGGAGGAACACCAGCGGCGUAGGCGGCUCACUAGACAGUUUCUGACGCUAAGAUACGAAAGCGUGGGGAGCAAACAGGAUUAGAUACCCCUGUAGUC
This 464-nucleotide ribosomal RNA is filed under the name uncultured Caldisericum sp. RNAcentral describes it as "bacterial SSU rRNA". It matches the Rfam family "Bacterial small subunit ribosomal RNA", at positions 338 to 795 of the family's 1533-position model. Lineage: Bacteria; Pseudomonadati; Caldisericota; Caldisericia; Caldisericales; Caldisericaceae. The record is from RNAcentral.